RNAcentral lists this ribosomal RNA (468 nucleotides) under uncultured bacterium. Its description in RNAcentral is "partial 16S ribosomal RNA". It matches the Rfam family "Bacterial small subunit ribosomal RNA", at positions 28 to 507 of the family's 1533-position model. The record is from RNAcentral.
GACGAACGCUGGCGGCGUGCUUAACACAUGCAAGUCGAACGGAAAGGCCCUGCUUUUGUGGGGUGCUCGAGUGGCGAACGGGUGAGUAACACGUGAGUAACCUGCCCUUGACUUUGUGAUAACUUCAGGAAACUGGGGCUAAUACCGGAUAGGAUCUCCUGCUGCAUGGUGGGGGUUGGAAAGUUUCGGCGGUUGGGUAUGGACUCGCGGCUUAUCAGCUUGUUUGUGUGGUAGUGGCUUACCAAGGCUUUGACGGGUAGCCGACCUGAGAGGGUGAACGGGCACAUGGGGACUGAGAUACGGACCAGAAUGCAACGGGAGGCAGCAGUGGGGAAUAUUGCACAAUGGGCGGAAGCCUGAUGCAGCAACGCCGCGUGCGGGAUGACGGCCUUCGGGUUGUAAACCGCUUUCGCCUGUGACGAAGCGUGAGUGACGGUAAUGGGUAAAGAAGCACCGGCUAACUACGUG